RNAcentral lists this ribosomal RNA (681 nucleotides) under Escherichia coli. Its description in RNAcentral is "partial 23S ribosomal RNA". It matches the Rfam family "Bacterial large subunit ribosomal RNA", at positions 762 to 1440 of the family's 2925-position model. Lineage: Bacteria; Pseudomonadati; Pseudomonadota; Gammaproteobacteria; Enterobacterales; Enterobacteriaceae. The record is from RNAcentral.
CUAACUGGAGGACCGAACCGACUAAUGUUGAAAAAUUAGCGGAUGACUUGUGGCUGGGGGUGAAAGGCCAAUCAAACCGGGAGAUAGCUGGUUCUCCCCGAAAGCUAUUUAGGUAGCGCCUCGUGAAUUCAUCUCCGGGGGUAGAGCACUGUUUCGGCAAGGGGGUCAUCCCGACUUACCAACCCGAUGCAAACUGCGAAUACCGGAGAAUGUUAUCACGGGAGACACACGGCGGGUGCUAACGUCCGUCGUGAAGAGGGAAACAACCCAGACCGCCAGCUAAGGUCCCAAAGUCAUGGUUAAGUGGGAAACGAUGUGGGAAGGCCCAGACAGCCAGGAUGUUGGCUUAGAAGCAGCCAUCAUUUAAAGAAAGCGUAAUAGCUCACUGGUCGAGUCGGCCUGCGCGGAAGAUGUAACGGGGCUAAACCAUGCACCGAAGCUGCGGCAGCGACACUAUGUGUUGUUGGGUAGGGGAGCGUUCUGUAAGCCUGUGAAGGUGGCCUGUGAGGGUUGCUGGAGGUAUCAGAAGUGCGAAUGCUGACAUAAGUAACGAUAAAGCGGGUGAAAAGCCCGCUCGCCGGAAGACCAAGGGUUCCUGUCCAACGUUAAUCGGGGCAGGGUGAGUCGACCCCUAAGGCGAGGCCGAAAGGCGUAGUCGAUGGGAAACAGGUUAAUAUUCCU